RNAcentral lists this non-coding RNA (31 nucleotides) under Rattus norvegicus (Norway rat). Lineage: Eukaryota; Metazoa; Chordata; Mammalia; Rodentia; Muridae. The record is from RNAcentral.
UGAUAUGUGUCACACCAAAGUCACAGAACAU